Molecule: non-coding RNA, 8392 nt
Organism: Podarcis lilfordi (Lilford's wall lizard)
Lineage: Eukaryota; Metazoa; Chordata; Lepidosauria; Squamata; Lacertidae
Source: the annotation of a GenBank genome assembly
AUUCUGAGAAGCACAGUACAUUUGAAUGUCAGGUGCCAGAGACCAGGAUGGGGAAACUUUUUGCCCCAGUGGGCCAGAUCCUUAACUGGUUCCACCCCUGUAGGCCAACUCUGACAGGUGGGUGGGACAACCCACAUGUCAAUCACCUGAUGAGAUUAUGUCAUCAGGUGAUUGAUAGUGCAAAACAGUUUUAAUCGAAACUGCCGCUAAAGCAGAGGUUUUGGGGUUUUUACUCCAAUUUUACUAGUGGGUUUACUUUAAGCUACCAAUUAUUCCUUUGUAGCCAUCUCAACACCUGCCCCAUACCUGAUGUUGCCUUUGAUGUCAGGUGUGAGGCAGGUGGUUUAGAGAAUUAGUUGUGAGCACCCAAAGAUCUGGCUGGCCAGUGUAGCAAACAGGAGAUGGCUCCAAAGGGGAUUAGAUAAAUUCACAGAGGACAUGACUGCUCAUCAUAAUGGCUGUAUGCUUUCUCCAGAAUUGGAAACAGCAUGCCUCUACAAACCACUUUCAUGGAACACAAGCAAGAAGGUGCUGCUAUAAUCUUGUGAGCUUUCCCAAAGAUCUGACUGAGCAACGUGGAAAAUCGGAUGCUGAACUAGAUGGAUUCUGCUGGGCUUUCCUCAGCUGUACAUCGGUAUGAUCCUUACAUUUUAUAAGUUAUAUCUCAUUGGCUCUUGUGAAAACCUUGUGUGAGGUCACUCUUAUUCCCAUUACACAGGUGGAAUGACUGAAAGUGAUUGACUUGCCUGUGGAUUUUUAUUGCUGCGGUAGAGUUGUAGCUAAGUCUACCAGAUGUGGAUCCCUUUUGUGUAUUGAACGAUGUGCAUGUUAGAAGCUUGAAAUGUAACAAGGCCGUUCUCCUUUUCAAGUCACUUCCAUUUUCCAGCUGUUUGCAGUGGGUCCCUGUGGAAUGCCAGAAUUUGGUGCCCCUCGCUUCUCGCUUUCCAUUCUACAUCAUAGUUGUGGCAAGCAAAGGCAAAUAUAGGGAUCACGACCAGUUCUGAUGCACUGGGAAACUUGACCACAGAAUUCUGAAGCAUUCCAUGUUCUAGGUAAGCAAUCAGUUCACCUGGAGCAUUGUUGGCGCUGCUUUAUUAGUUCAUGCAACAUAAAAUGCACACAAAAGACUCUCCUGCAAGGGGAGAAAUUGGCCACAGCAAUUUGCCCAGCAGUAGUGAUCUUCCUAAUUGAGGAACCUCUAAUAAACUCUUCACAAACCCAAUCCCCUGCCCCCACUGUAAGCCUGAAAACCAAUGUGAUAAUUUAUGGACCUCACCAUUGUUCCACAACAUAUUCCUACUGUCCAUAAUGAGCAUCAUGUAUUGCCUGAUAAUUCUUUCUCUGUGUCUGAAUAAGGCUAAAAUGGUCCUUCCAUGUUAGUGUUUAACAACCUAUGAAACGGCACUUGAUGUUUCCAGAAUGAGCAGUUCUUCUGGCCCUCAUUCUGUUUCAUAAUAGCUGUUCAAACAUGCUCCAUUUCCUUCAAAUAUAUGCUCUAAUGUAUCCAAAUCUGGAUUAAGUUUCAGACUGCAGGGUCUUCAUCAGCAAUUUUCACUUUCUGUUGUGUCAACAAAAGCAGCAAUAUCAACAGUUUUAUGUUUUUGUUCUCUUUGCCUCUCGGAUUUGCGAUAAAUCUUUCAGCAUUCUUUGAAGCUUAGCCACACUGUUGGGAAGCUGUUUUCCCCACUCUUGCUAUUUUUGCAAACAUAUUCUGCCCGCCUGCCUUGGAAGACUGAGUUGUCUGCUAGUGUUCCUGUACAGGAACAUUCAUAUUCAGCAGUAUCCAUACUGUUUAUUUUAUAAGGACGCUGGAUUUCUGGCCGCUUCCCACAACAGCAUCCCAUUGCGUAGAAUGCUCGGUAUUUAUACAAUGUUUUUCCUAAGCACGUUGCAUGCAUUAUAUUUAAUCUUUAUCACAACCCUAUAAACUAGGCCAGUAGUAUUAUCCCCAUAUUAUAGAUGGCAGCUGAGUCCUAGAAAGAGAGAAAGCUAAGGCCUGCUUCACACACAACUGUUUAUUUUUAUAUUUUAACGGGAAUAUAUAAUGGAGAAGAGAGAAACUGUGCGUGCAUCAUCACAAUGUGUGAAAAUAAUUUGUUAAGAUGGGCUGGCUCAAUACAUUUUGCUGCCUGAAGCAAAGACAAGAUAGCUCCCUCCCCCAAGGCACAUACAGAAGCCAGGUUGAACCUGGCAAAAGGACAGUAUCUUCCACGGGACUUGAGGGCAGCAGGCUAGCAUUAUAAUGUAACAUACAGUAAUUAUAAUAUAAUAUAAUAUAAUAUAAUAUAAUAUAAUAUAAUAUAAAUGUUUUAAUUUAUAUCCUGCCCAUCUGGCUGGGUUUCCCCAGUCACUCUGCGCGGCUUACAACAUAAAGCACAACAAAAGAUCAAACAUUAAAAAACAAGAUAUCCUAUACAAGCAACAAACAAACCAACAAAUCAAUAACACCAAUAGCAACAAUAGCCAGUUGCCCCAACCCAAGAGUUGUUCCAGCAAUGUCCCAGUGGCCUCCCAGGAGUCUCUUUUAGCAUAGGAGUGUCAGGGCAGGCCACAUGGUACCCACAGCUCUGUUGCUUCCCUGCACCUCAGCAUCUGCCACCUGAGGCAGCCCGCCUCACUUUGCCUCAACAUAGGGCCAGCCCUGUUGUUAGGUAUACUCUAUAAGAAACCAGUGAUAUACAGUGCUGGCUUUCCAACAGGCACACCCUUGGCAUAGCCGGUUUAUUUGAUGUCCAUAUCGGAGUUUGUGUAUGUUAGGAUGAAACGUGGCACCAUGCUUUGGACAGGUUUCUCCUUCAGGCUGAUUGCCAUCACACACAAGUGGAUUUGUCUGUGAUGCUACUGAAAAAGGAAGUCAUCAGUACUGAUUCACUGAGAGAUGCUUCAAACGUGCACUCAGGAUAUGGUGGUGCUCUUUUUUGUCUUCAUUACUCCAAUCCCCAUUAUGCUGGAGUGCGUAAGACCAUCUUCCACAUAUUUGAGACUUCUCCUGGUGCCUCUUGGACAAUCCUAAUUUGGCUUCAUAAACCAAGAUAUGAGCUGCAGACAUACCCUAUUUUUAAAGCACACAACUUUCCCCAAAGAAUUCUAGGAACUGUAGUUUGUUAAGGGUGCUGGAAAUUGUAGCUCAGUGAGUGGUAAAAUACCAGUUCCCAGUCUUCUUUUGGGAAAGCAAAACGCUUUAAGGAAUAAGCCUUGUGUGCUACCUUGCUGCUCCUUUUGCAGAAGCUGGGAAAGAAGCCAGGAAGCCUUUAGUUAACUAUAGUUCCCCAUUUCCCAUCACAUCUGAACUAUGGUUAAUGGCCCUCAAACAAGUCAGGAUAUGAAACCAACUUUAAAUCCAUCCAUGGCAUGCUUGUCCAAAUGCAGCCAAUGAGUCAAUUCCCUCUUCGGCAGUUACAGAAAUAGUAAUGACCUUUCCCCGCACUCUAGUAAUGAGACCAGCAAAAUUAUGGGCUGUAGUGUACACCUUGAGGGGACAGCAAGAGCAGAGGCUCAGGCCUUCAAAUUCCUGCCAUCUGCAUCCGGCAAGACUACCAAACAGCCUGAGAGAAUUCUGCCUUAACAAGAAAAGAAAAGAAAAGAAAAGAAAAUGCUUUUUCACCUUUAUUUUUCAUGAAAUAAUUUAAAUUGCAAACAGCCUUGAUUGCAUUGGCAGAAAGACAACUAUAUAUGCCGCAAACAGAAUAAACAGUAGGCAACAUGGCGCUGUGCAGAUGUUGUUGUUGGACUCCCAACGCCCCAACCAUCAUGGCCCAAGGUCAAGAAUGGAGGAAGCUGGGAGUCCAGUCACAUCCAGAGGGGACCAUGUUGUCAAUCUCUGAUUAUUCAGCAUGGUACCCUCCGAAUAAAAGGGACGCAGGUGGCGCUGUGGGUUAAACCACAGAGCCUAGGACUUGCCGAUCAGAAGGUCAGCGGUUCGAAUCCCUGUGACGGGGUGAGCUCCCGUUGCUCGGUCCCUGCUCCUGCCAACCUAGCAGUUCGAAAGCACGUCAAAGUGCAAGUAGAUAAAUAGGUAUCACUCUGGCAGGAAGGUAAACGGCAUUUCCGUGCGCUGCUCUGGUUCGUCAGAAGCAGCUUAGUCAUGCUGGCCACAUGACCCAGAAGCUGUAUGCCAACUCCCUCGGCCAAUAAAGCGAGAUGAGCGCCGCAACCCCAGAGUCGGUCACGACUGGACCUAAUGGUCAGGGGUCCCUUUACCUUUACCUUUACCUUUACCCUCCGAAUAUUUGCCUCUUCUGAGCUGAGAAAUGCACAAUCAACAUUUGGUAUCGAAAGCACUGCAAACCUAUUUUCCCGUCAAACCAGUAGGGGAUGAUGUUAUACAUAGAAUUACAGCUCGCUAACUCAUAACUCCUAAAGGAAGGUUUCGCACAAAUGGCUGGGUUCAUUGGACUGUUUUGCGACCUUUAUGAUCAAUCUGAGAACCGACCUUGUCUGAAGGAGCUGGUCUAGUGUAAAGCUCCCAUGAUGUUCUGGUCACGACUGCAGGACUUUUGACAAUGGUAAUUUAAUUCCAUUGUGGCUGUUUUAUUGCUAUUGAAGAUCUGAACGGAGGGAACAGUUGCUUCUUCCGUUUUGUUCUGCUUCCAUAGAUGAGGUGGGGGUGGGGUAGGGGAGAGACGCUUCAAAUAAUAUGAAUGACAGCGAUGAGUCAGCAGUUGUCAACAAGCUAACGCCAGGCCAAUGAGGAAUUGGAGCAGAUUGAGUUGCAGCUGAGAAUGUAGGUGACAGGAGUCAUCACCUUGGAAUUUAAAGGCCUGUCAACCCAGCAAAUGCUUUCUAACCACAGGAGUUUCAUGUUAACCUCUACUCAGCAUCCGUUUAGAAGCUGCAAGCAACCUCCGGCUUUGAAACAGAGCAUCUAACCGUCAGAUACCGCCAUUCUUUGUACUCUCACUUGACACUUGCUUCAGAGUAAAAAUCCAUCGGACCACACAGUUAAACAUUUAAGCUGAAAUCCUAUAUAUCCACGGGAAUAAGCCCCACUUAACUCAAUGGGAUGUAUUUCUGUAUGGGAUCAUUAGAGAUGAAGAGGUGGUUUGGCAUUUGACAGUUCAGAAAGGAGAACGGAACAAAUCUUAUUUGUUCAUUCCCAAUAUUUAGAGACUCCCUUCUCAGCACAGGAAGCAAUUUAAGGAAUCAGCAACAAAACAAUUCCUCCGUCAAAUAAUAUACAUGUUUAAAAGAAACAAAAACCACAGGUAGAAACAUUAAUUCCAUAAAUAGGAGUUAGAAGCUGCAAACAACCUCUUGCUUUGGUAAAAAGGAAAGCUUUUAGGAAUUGUCAAACAAUAGCCAAGCAUUUAAACGAAAGCUUUUAAUUCUGUUUCUUAAGAGUGUAGCUAAUGGCAGAAUUAGGCUAAAGCUGAAAAUCUUUGCACAUUUUCUACCCAAGAAAAAUGAUACUUUCUUGUACUGGGCAUUUUGGUCCUCGCAGAAAACGCAUCGGACUCAGAGACAGUCCUGACACCUCAAGCAAUUAUGAUGUGAACUGCUGUGAUGACAGCUGGCAUUUAUUUCCUUUAUGUGUUCCUAUUCCUGUUUUCCAAUAAGAGAAUCUAGGCAAUACGGCUUCAUUGAGAGGGAAGAAAGCAAAACUGUGCUGAUGGAAAGAGUUGCUAGGCAGUCAAGACUGAGCUGCAGACAACUGGCAGCCAGGAGACAGGGUCCAGCUAUUUGGGCACAAAAAUUAAAGUAAAAAGUAAAAAUAACAUUAUCCCUGAAGCUAACUCCCAUUUAAAUGAGCAUAGGAUUGCAACAGAAACUAAGAUGUGGAAAAUACUGAAUGCAUUUUAUUUUUUGCAUGCGGAAGAAUACAUUUAGCAGGGGACUAGCAAAGACCCUCCUCCAUUUCAUUUCCCCACAUUCUUUUUUUCAUUGGGUUUUAUAAACAAGAAUAAUGUUACACAAAUAAGUAUACCAAGAUUUCUCAUGUCAAUUGUAUAUCACAAAUAUAGCAUAAUAAAUGUGGAGUAAUAUCUACAACAUAUGGUUCAUUAUUAGUAGUCAAUGUAUAAGUUCCUGGUUAAUGAAUUGGUUUGAACAAUUAGGAAGAAAAGAGAGGGGGGAGGGGAAUGGUAAGUGGAGUGGUGUCAGGUGGUUAUGCUUCUGUUCUUCUACUUAGUGUAUGUGUGGGGUUUUGUAUCAGCGUUACUUGUAUGGGUUCUCUUACUAUUCACUCGUUGUGUUUCCUUGGUGGUGAGAAAGAUUAUGGGUAGCCUAGGGUGUGGUUGUUCAUUUUUGGUUGGCUGUAUUGAGAAUUGUUUUUGUGUGUGAGCAGGGUGUGACUGUGUAUUUUUGAAUCUGGUUAGCCAGAUUGAUUUGUAUGCUGUAGGCGGAUUCUUGUUGUUGUCUUGUUGGGCUGUGUAUGUGAUAAAGGGGAACCAUACUGGGAUGAAGGCAUCUUCUUCUAUUUGUCCCUGUGUCAGAUUAUUGCAUGAGUAGGCAAACUAAGGCCCGGGGGCCGGAUCCGGCCCAAUCACCUUCUAAAUCCGGCCCGCGGAUGGUCUGGGAAUCAGUGUGUUUUUACAUGAGUAGAGUGUGUGCUUUUAAUUAAAAUGGGUUAUUUGUGGGGCCUGCCUGGUGUUUUUACAUGAGUAGAAUGUGUGCUUUUAUUUAAAAUGCAUCUCUGGGUUAUUUGUGGGGCAUAGGAAUUCAUUCAUUUCCCCCCCAAUAUAUAGUCUUGCCACCCACAAGGUCUGAGGGACAGUGGACCGGCCCCCUGCUGAAAAAGUUUGCCGACCCCUGGUUUCUUGGUUAGUUUUUCUAAUAAGGCUGUUUCCCAUACCAUUUGAUACCAUUGGCCCAUGCUUACUCCUGACAGGUCUCUCCAGUGUCUGGCUAGGAUGUUUCUGGCUGCUGAAUUUCCCCACAUUCUUGUACUAUAAGGAAGAUCUGGAAGAUUACCUGCAACUACAUUCAUCUGCAUAGCACAGGCAUCUGAUCUCUAUUUAUAGUGGCAUGAGCACAACUGGAACUGCAGAGGUCACAAGCCGAGAUGAUUAAUAGUCAGCAACUACUGAUCCGUCAGAAUGCAGUUGCACACAACCAGUUUCCAACUUUUCCCCGAAACACCCAUGACUUGCUUAAGGCAUCUUUUGCUUGGCUGAGUUUGGCGCCUGGUUAAGCCACCCAUCGUGCUUUUUUGUGUAAAUGAGUAGCAAGUGUUCUGAAGACAAUGAGCCUUCCUUCCUGGCUAAUCUGCUUCACUGGCAUAAGUUGCCAGACACAAUCAUAGAAGGGACUGUGAGGGUCAUCUAGUAAAAUCCCCUGCAACGCAGUUGCACUUAGACGACAGAGCACUUUGAUUGGCUUUAAUUGUGCAAACCUAAAGUCCUGCUCUGCGCUUGAAGCCUUCCAGCUGAAUAGUGGCAGUCUGCAAGCACCCAUAAAGCAUUCAGCUGUACUCCAUGUUCUGUGCUCUGCUCAGAAGCAAGUGUACUGUUCUUUGAUAAGAUCCCAGCAGAUAUUUCCCUUCUUAAUGCUAUUAGGCUACAUGUUUUAUGGCUCUGAUGGUUUUUCUUUGCACAAUAAGAACCUUUUCAUUGCUCAGUAAAGGAAAACGGCCGCCCUUAUUCCAAGCAACCCUAGAGUGGGCAAAACACAACUUAGCUGACCGUAUUCUUCAGAUUUUGAAGCAUGAAACGGAAAGUAAAUGAGUUCAGAUGUGCUUGCACCUUGAAUUUCUUAGCUCAUCAAAAGAAGAUGGAGAUUUUGUACAUUUGAGGUGAUGUUAGGAUUCUUUGGCUGCAACGCUAUGUGUGGAUCAAAGCCAAAGGAUCCUACCCUCGCCUGCUUAUGUUGACCCGUUGCGCAGCUGCUAAAGACAAUGAACAAGACACAGUGGCUGAGCGAGACAUUGACUGCAGCUCAUGGUUAGGAAGGAGAGAGUUUAACCUUGAGCCCAAGUUUGGAGAGCAUCCUAAGCCGAUCCUUGGUUUAGGUCAGGAUGGGGUGGAGUGGGGUCAGUAAGAAGGAUAGGGAAGGAGCAAAGCUCUCUGGGAUCCUGCACAUCCAUGCGUUCUUGUGAACCAGUUUGGUGUACUGAGCUACGCGGACUGCAUUAUAGACCCUCUGUCCUUAAAAAUGAUGGCAACAUGAAAACAAAAUAAGGACGCCAUACAAGAAUGACUGAGUAGGUGUGCUGAAUUCAGUGGCUUACUCCUAAGCAAGAGUGCAACCUUAAGACGGGUACGUUAUUUGAGAGGGGGCCUGGGAUGGCCAAGUACAGGCAAGUCUUCAUGAGAGAUUGCCUUGUGCCUUUUCUCCCCCACCCCCCUUUUUAUAAUUUUUAUUGAUUUUAAACACUUUAUCAAAACAAAUAAAAACAUUUUAAAAAAACAAAUAACAAAUGACCUAUAUAAAAAAACAAAAAAACUCCCAAAACCAG